This 502-nucleotide ribosomal RNA is filed under the name uncultured bacterium. Its description in RNAcentral is "partial 16S ribosomal RNA". It matches the Rfam family "Bacterial small subunit ribosomal RNA", at positions 30 to 523 of the family's 1533-position model. The record is from RNAcentral.
AUUGAACGCUGGCGGCAUGCCUUACACAUGCAAGUCGAACGGCAGCAUAGGAGCUUGCUCCUGAUGGCGAGUGGCGAACGGGUGAGUAAUAUAUCGGAACGUGCCCUAGAGUGGGGGAUAACUAGUCGAAAGACUAGCUAAUACCGCAUACGAUCUACGGAUGAAAGUGGGGGAUCGCAAGACCUCAUGCUCCUGGAGCGGCCGAUAUCUGAUUAGCUAGUUGGUGGGGUAAAAGGCCAGCAAGGCGACGAUCAGUAGAUGGUCUGAGAGGACGACCAGCCACACUGGGACUGAGACACGGCCCAGACUCCUACGGGAGGCAGCAGUGGGGAAUUUUGGACAAUGGGGGCAACCCUGAUCCAGCAAUGCCGCGUGAGUGAAGAAGGCCUUCGGGUUGUAAAGCUCUUUUGUCAGGGAAGAAACGGUUCUGGAUAAUACCUGGAGCUAAUGACGGUACCUGAAGAAUAAGCACCGGCUAACUACGUGCCAGCCGCCGCCGUAA